GUGGUUGGAAAGUUUUUCGGUCAGGGAUGGGCUCGCGGCCUAUCAGCUUGUUGGUGGGGUGAUGGCCUACCAAGGCGACGACGGGUAGCCGGCCUGAGAGGGCGACCGGCCACACUGGGACUGAGACACGGCCCAGACUCCUACGGGAGGCAGCAGUGGGGAAUAUUGCACAAUGGGCGAAAGCCUGAUGCAGCGACGCCGCGUGGGGGAUGAAGGCCUUCGGGUUGUAAACCUCUUUCAGCAGGGAAGAAGCGCAAGUGACGGUACCUGCAGAAGAAGCGCCGGCUAACUACGUGCCAGCAGCCGCGGUAAUACGUAGGGCGCAAGCGUUGUCCGGAAUUAUUGGGCGUAAAGAGCUCGUAGGCGGUUUGUCGCGUCUGGUGUGAAAACUCGAGGCUCAACCUCGAGCUUGCAUCGGGUACGGGCAGACUAGAGUGCGGUAGGGGAGACUGGAAUUCCUGGUGUAGCGGUGGAAUGCGCAGAUAUCAGGAGGAACACCGAUGGCGAAGGCAGGUCUCUGGGCCGCAACUGACGCUGAGGAGCGAAAGCAUGGGGAGCGAACAGGAUUAGAUACCCUGGUAGUCCAUGCCGUAAACGUUGGGCACUAGGUGUGG
Molecule: ribosomal RNA, 614 nt
Filed under: Cellulosimicrobium sp.
Lineage: Bacteria; Bacillati; Actinomycetota; Actinomycetes; Micrococcales; Promicromonosporaceae
Description: bacterial SSU rRNA
Rfam family: Bacterial small subunit ribosomal RNA
Source: RNAcentral